Molecule: ribosomal RNA, 497 nt
Filed under: uncultured bacterium
Lineage: Bacteria
Description: partial 16S ribosomal RNA
Rfam family: Bacterial small subunit ribosomal RNA
Source: RNAcentral
GAUGAACGCUGGCGGCGUGCCUAAUACAUGCAAGUCGAGCGAACAGACGAGGAGCUUGCUCCUCUGACGUUAGCGGCGGACGGGUGAGUAACACGUGGAUAACCUACCUAUAAGACUGGGAUAACUUCGGGAAACCGGAGCUAAUACCGGAUAAUAUAUUGAACCGCAUGGUUCAAUAGUGAAAGACGGUUUUGCUGUCACUUAUAGAUGGAUCCGCGCCGCAUUAGCUAGUUGGUAAGGUAACGGCUUACCAAGGCAACGAUGCGUAGCCGACCUGAGAGGGUGAUAGGCCACCCUGGAAGUGAGACACGGUCCAGACUCCUACGGGAGGCAGCAGUAGGGAAUCUUCCGCAAUGGGCGAAAGCCCGACGGAGCAACGCCGCGUGAGUGAUGAAGGUCUUCGGAUCGUAAAACUCUGUUAUUAGGGAAGAACAAAUGUGUAAGUAACUAUGCACGUCUUGACGGUACCUAAUCAGAAAGCCACGGCUAACUACGUG